This 1046-nucleotide ribosomal RNA is filed under the name Nigrospora oryzae. RNAcentral's name for it is "SSU rRNA". It matches the Rfam family "Eukaryotic small subunit ribosomal RNA", at positions 72 to 1129 of the family's 1831-position model. Lineage: Eukaryota; Fungi; Ascomycota; Sordariomycetes; Amphisphaeriales; Apiosporaceae. The record is from RNAcentral.
AAUUAUACCGCGAAACUGCGAAUGGCUCAUUAAAUCAGUUAUCGUUUAUUUGAUAGUACCUUACUACUUGGAUAACCGUGGUAAUUCUAGAGCUAAUACAUGCUAAAAACCCCAACUCACGAAGGGGUGUAUUUAUUAGAUUAAAAACCAAUGCCCUUCGGGGCUUCUUGGUGAUUCAUAAUAACUUCUCGAAUCGCAUGGCCUUGCGCCGGCGAUGGUUCAUUCAAAUUUCUGCCCUAUCAACUUUCGAUGGCAGGGUCUUGGCCUGCCAUGGUUACAACGGGUAACGGAGGGUUAGGGCUCGACCCCGGAGAAGGAGCCUGAGAAACGGCUACUACAUCCAAGGAAGGCAGCAGGCGCGCAAAUUACCCAAUCCCGACUCGGGGAGGUAGUGACAAUAAAUACUGAUACAGGGCUCUUUUGGGUCUUGUAAUUGGAAUGAGUACAAUUUAAAUCCCUUAACGAGGAACAAUUGGAGGGCAAGUCUGGUGCCAGCAGCCGCGGUAAUUCCAGCUCCAAUAGCGUAUAUUAAAGUUGUUGCAGUUAAAAAGCUCGUAGUUGAACCUUGGGCCUGGCUGGCCGGUCCGCCUCACCGCGUGCACUGGUUCGGCCGGGCCUUUCCCUCUGGGGAACCGCAUGCCCUUCACUGGGUGUGUCGGGGAACCAGGACUUUUACUGUGAAAAAAUUAGAGUGUUCAAAGCAGGCCUAUGCUCGAAUACAUUAGCAUGGAAUAAUAGAAUAGGACGUGUGGUUCUAUUUUGUUGGUUUCUAGGACCGCCGUAAUGAUUAAUAGGGACAGUCGGGGGCGUCAGUAUUCCAUUGUCAGAGGUGAAAUUCUUGGAUUUAUGGAAGACUAACUACUGCGAAAGCAUUCGCCAAGGAUGUUUUCAUUAAUCAGGAACGAAAGUUAGGGGAUCGAAGACGAUCAGAUACCGUCGUAGUCUUAACCAUAAACUAUGCCGACUAGGGAUCGGGCGAUGUUAUUAUUUGACUCGCUCGGCACCUUACGAGAAAUCAAAGUCUUUGGGUCUGGGGGGAGUAGGUC